Non-coding RNA from Pelobates cultripes (western spadefoot toad), 466 nucleotides. The record is from the annotation of a GenBank genome assembly. Lineage: Eukaryota; Metazoa; Chordata; Amphibia; Anura; Pelobatidae.
CUUGGAAACCACCCGUGUCAAACCCAUCAGCAGGAGCUGGAGGGUAUGCACGGGCCUCUAAAGCAGGGGGCCGGCUGGGAUGGGCGUGAUAGGUGAGUAUUAAGGGUGGGAGGAGGUGGAGGAGGAGGAGGUAAAUCAGUGGGAGGCGGGGCAGGAAUCGCGGAAUUAACCAGGGAGGUAACAGCAGAGAAGAGGGCGGAUAUCGAGCUAGACAGGUCAUUGGCCAUGGUUGAGUCAGGGGUCACCGGGGGAGGGGUCGGAGGGAUGGGAACAGGGGGCUGGGUCGUAACAGCGUGGGUAGAGGGUUGGGACAGCAAAUCAGUCGGGAGGGGAGGAGGCAACGAGGUAGAGGGGACCGGGAUAUCGGGAGGGGGUACCACUGGAGAAGGGGUUGGAGGGGUGGGAACGGGGGGCUGGGUCAGGGCAGUGAGGGCAGAGAUUAGGGACGGCAAAUCAGUCGGGAGGG